GUGCCAGCAGCCGCGGUAAUACGUAGGGGGCGAGCGUUGUUCGGAUUUACUGGGCGUAAAGAGCGCGUAGGUGGUUCGAUCAGUCGGAGGUGAAAGCCCUCGGCUUAACCGAGGAUCCGCGUCCGAUACUGUCGAACUUGAGUGCAGGAGAGGAGAGCGGAAUUCCCAGUGUAGCGGUGAAAUGCGUAGAUAUUGGGAGGAACACCGGUGGCGAAGGCGGCUCUCUGGACUGCUACUGACACUGAGGCGCGAAAGCUAGGGGAGCAAACGGGAUUAGAAACCCCAGUAGUCC
RNAcentral lists this ribosomal RNA (292 nucleotides) under uncultured bacterium. RNAcentral's name for it is "partial 16S ribosomal RNA". It matches the Rfam family "Bacterial small subunit ribosomal RNA", at positions 505 to 796 of the family's 1533-position model. The record is from RNAcentral.